CCUGCCCUAGACUCCCUGUGACGAAGUGGGACUGUUCUUAAUGUUUCCUCUGAAUAGUGUGGGGGUGCCUCAGUUUCCCCUAUGCAGUUCUUAAGUAUCUAGGGGGUGGAGUAAGGGUGUAUGAUCAUUGCAGAGCCCUAGAGGGCAGGUGUGUGAAGGGGUCUGGACACAGAGAAUGGGCGACACCCUGUUUCCUGGCAACUGAUGGCCUGGGCCCUUCCCCCCCUGCAAGGUGAGAGCUGAAGGGUUGGAGAACAAAGGAAUCAGGUGACCUCCUGGCCCGGGAAAGGAACAAAGCCCAGAGGAGGAGGGGCUGGAGGGGUUUCAGUUUGGGGCUGGCUGGGACAUGCAGUGAAGGGCAGACGUGGUUGUUUGGCUCACUGCCCCCCAAAAUGGACCCAGCUGAGGGGUCCUGUUCUCUGCACCUACAAGCUCUGUGUUAGACCAUGUUCCUGUCGUCUAAUAAACCUUCUGUUUUACUGGCUG
Molecule: non-coding RNA, 486 nt
Organism: Caretta caretta (loggerhead turtle)
Lineage: Eukaryota; Metazoa; Chordata; Testudines; Cheloniidae
Source: RefSeq, a predicted model, not a curated record